This 253-nucleotide ribosomal RNA is filed under the name uncultured bacterium. RNAcentral describes it as "partial 16S ribosomal RNA". It matches the Rfam family "Bacterial small subunit ribosomal RNA", at positions 524 to 776 of the family's 1533-position model. The record is from RNAcentral.
GACGAACCGUGCGAACGUUGCUCGGAAUCACUGGGCAUAAAGGGCGCGUAGGCGGCUUUUCAAGUCAGGGGUGAAAUCCGGCAGCUCAACUGUCGAAGUGCCCUUGAUACUGAUGAGCUCGAGGGAGGUAGGGGUAUGUGGAACUUCCGGUGGAGCGGUGAAAUGCGUUGAUAUCGGAAGGAACGCCGGUGGCGAAAGCGACGUACUGGACCUCUUCUGACGCUGAGGCGCGAAAGCUAGGGGAGCAAACGGG